RNAcentral lists this long non-coding RNA (6155 nucleotides) under Ananas comosus (pineapple). RNAcentral's name for it is "long non-coding RNA (ACOM_LNC038165)". Lineage: Eukaryota; Viridiplantae; Streptophyta; Magnoliopsida; Poales; Bromeliaceae. The record is from RNAcentral.
UUUUUCUCAUUUUAUCGAAGAAAGCAUCAAACCUAAUUAUAUUGUUCUAUUAUGCCCAGACAGUGUAAUUUUGGAACGAAUCGAUGUCAACGCUCACAAGAAUAAAAACCGGAACAACAUUAGACUACUCAGUCGCGCCCUAACAGUAUAACUUUGCAACGAGUACUUUUUCUCAUUUUAUCGAACAAAGCGUCAAACCUAAUUAUAUUGAUUUAUUAUGCCCAGAGAGUGUAAAUUUAGAACGAAUCGAUGUCAACGCUCACAAGAACAAAAACCGGAACAACAAUAGACUACUUAGUUGCGCCAUAACAGUAUAACUUUGCAACGAAUGCUUUUUCUCAUUUUAUCGAAAAAGCGCAAAUUUAAUUAUAUUGUUCUAUAAUGCCCAGAGAGUGUAAAAUUUGGAACGAAUCGAUGUCAACGCUCACAAGAACAAAAACCGGAACAACAUGAGACUACUCAGUUACGCCCUAACAGUAUAAAUUUGCAACGAGCACUUUUUCUCAUUUUAUCGAAGAAAGCAUUAAACCUAAUUAUAUUGUAAUAUUAUGCCCAGAGGGUGUAAAUUUGGAACGAAUCGAUGUCAACGCUCACAAGAACAAAAACCGGAACAACAUUAGACUACUCAGUUGCGCCAUAACAGUAUAAUUUUGCAACGAGUGCUUUUCUCAUUUCAUCGAAGAAAGCGCAAAUCUAAUUAUAUUGUUCUAUUAUGCCCAGAGAGUGUAAAUUUGGAACGAAAUCGAUGUCAACGCUCACAAGAACAAAAACAGGAACAACAUUAGACUACUCAGUUGCGCCCUUACAGUAUAACUUUGCAACGAGUACUUUUUCUCAUUUUAUCGAAGAAAGCGUAAAACCUAAUUGUAUUCUUCUAUUAUGCCCAGAGAGUGUAAAUUUGGAACGAAUCGAUGUCAACGUUCACAAGAACAAAAACCGGAACAACAUUAGACUACUCAGUUGCGCCCUAACAGUAUAACUUUGCGACGAGUACUUUUUCUCAUUCUAUCGAACAAAGAGUAAAACAUAAUUAUAUUGUUCUAUUAUGCCCAGAGAGUGUAAAUUUGGAACGAAUCGAUGUCAACGCUCGCAAGAACAAAAACCGAAACAACUUUAGACUACUCAGUUGCGCAAUAACAGUAUAACAUUGCAACGAGUGAUUUUUCUCAUUUUAUCGAAGAAAGCGUAAAACCUAAUUAUAUUUUUCUAUUAUGACCAGAGAGUGUAAAUUUGGAACGAAUCGAUGUCAACGCUCACAAGAACAAAAAUCGGAACAACAUUAGACUACUCAGUUGCGCCCUAACAGUAUAACUUUGCAACGAGUACUUAUUCUCAUUUUAUCGAACAAAGCGUCAAACCUAAUUAUAUUGAUUUAUUAUGCCCAGAGAGUGUAAAUUUGGAACGAAUCAAUGUCAGCGCUCACAGGAACAAAAACCGGAACAACAAUAGACUGCUUAGUUGCGCCAUAACAGUAUAACUUUGCAACGAGUGCUUUUUCUCAUUUUAUCGAAAAAGCGCAAAUUUAAUUAUAUUGUUCUAUUCUGCCCAGAGAGUGUAAAUUUGGAACGAAUCGAUGUCAACGCUCACAAGAAAAAAAACCAGAACAACAUUAGACUACUCAGUUGCGACAUAACAGUAUAACUUUGCAACGAGUACUUUUUCUCAUUUUAUCGAAGAAAACGCAAAAUCUAAUUAUAUUGUUCUAUUAUGCCCAGAGAGUGUAAAUUUGGAACGAAUCGAUGUCAACGCUCACAUGAACAAAAAUCGGGACAACAUUAGACUACUGAGUUGCGCCCUAACAGUAUAAAUUUGCAACGAGACCUUUUUCUCAUUUUAUCGAAGAAAGCAUCAAACCUAAUUAUAUUGUUCUAUUAUGCCCAGACAGUGUAAUUUUGGAACGAAUCGAUGUCAACGCUCACAAGAAUAAAAACCGGAACAACAUUAGACUACUCAGUCGCGCCCUAACAGUAUAACUUUGCAACGAGUACUUUUUCUCAUUUUAUCGAAGAAAGCGUCAAACCUAAUUAUAUUGUUCUAUAAUGCCCAGAGAGUGUAAAUUUGGAACGAAUCGAUAUCAACACUCACAAAAAUAAAAACCGGAACAACAUUUGAGUACUCAGUUGUGCCUCUAACAGGUAUAACUUUUUGCAACCAGUACUUUAUUCUCAUUUUUUUGAAGUAAGCGGCCAAAACUAAUUUAUAUUGUAUUCUAUUUAGCCCCAGAGAGCUUGUAAAUUUCUGGAACGAAUUGAUGUCAACGCUCCACAAGAACAAAAACUGGAACAAAAUUAGGCUACUUAGUUGCGCCCUAACAGUAUAACUUUGCAACGAGUGCUUUUUCACAUUUUAUCGAAGAAAGCGUCAAACCUAAUUAUAUUGCUCUAUAAUGCCCAGAGAGUGUAAAUUUGGAACGAAUCGAUAUCAACACUCACAAAAAUAAAAACCGGAACAACAUUUGAGCACUCAGUUGUGUGCCCUUAACAGGUAUAACUUUUGCAACCAGUACUUUUUCUUCAUUUUAUCGAAAGUAAUGCGUCAAAACUAAUUUAUAUUAUGUCUCUUUUACGCCCAGAAGAGAGUAAAUCUGGAACGGAAUCGAUGUCAACGCUCACAAGAACAAAAACUGGAACAAAAUUAGGCUACUUAGUUGCGCCCUAACAGUAUAACUUUGCAACGAGUGCUUUUUCACAUUUUAUCGAAGAAAGCGUCAAACCUAAUUAUAUUGCUCUAUAAUGCCCAGAGAGUGUAAAUUUGGAACGAAUCGAUAUCAACACUCACAAAAAUAAAAACCGGAACAACAUUUGAGUACUCAGUUGCGCCUUAACAGUAUAACUUUGCAACCAGUACUUUUUCUCAUUUUAUCGAAGUAAGCGUCAAACCUAAUUAUAUUAUUCUAUUAUGCCCAGAGAGUGUAAAUUUGGAACGAUUCGAUGUCAACGCUCACAAGAACAAAAACCGGAACAACAUUAGACUCUUCAGUUGCACCCUAACAGUAUAACUUUGCAACGCGUACUUUUUCUCGUUUUAUCGAAGAAAGCGUAAAAUCUAAUUAUAUUGUUGUAUUAUGCCCAGAUAGUGUAAAUUUGGAACGAAUCGAUGUCAACGCUCACAAGAACAAAAACCGGAACAACAUUAGAGCACUCAGUUCCGCCAUAACAGUAUAACUUUGCAACGAGUGCUUUUUUUCAUUUUAUCGAAGAAAGCGUAAAACCUAGUUAUAUUAUUCUAUUAUGCCCAGAGAGUGUAAAUUUGGAACGAAUCGAUUUCAACGCUCACAAGAACAAAAACCGGAACAACAUUAGACUACUCAGUUGCGCCCUAACAGUAUAACUUUGCAACGAGUACUUUUUCUCAUUUAUCGAAGAAAGCGUCAAACCUAAUUAUAUUGUUCUAUCUUGCCCAGAGAGUGUAAAUUUGGAACGAAUCGAUGUCAAAGCUCACAAGAACAAAAAUCGGAUCAAUAUUAGACUACUCAGUUGCGCCCUAACAGUAUAACUUUGCAACGAGUGCUUUUUCUCAUUUUAUCGAAGAAAGCGUAAAUCUAAUUAUAUUGUUCUAUUAUACCUAGAGAGUGUAAAAUUGGAACGAACUGAUGUGAGCGCUCACAAGAACAAAAACCGGAUCAAUAUUAGACUACUCAGUUCCGCCCUAACAGUAUAACUUUGCAACGAGUACUUUUUCUCAUUUAUCGAAGAAAGCGUCAAACCUAAUUAUAUUGUUCUAUUAUGCCCAGAGAGUGUAAAUUUGGAACGAAUCGAUUUUAAAGCUCACAAGAACAAAAACCGGAACAAUAUUAGACAACUCAGUUGCGCCCGAACAGUAUAACUUUGCAACGAGUGCUUUUUCUCAUUUUAUCGAAGAAAGCGUCAAACCUCAUUAUAUUGUUCUAUUAUGCCGAGAGAGUGUAAAUUUGGAACGAAUCGAUGUCAACGCUCACAAGAACAAAAACCGGAACAACAUUAGACUCUUCAGUUGCACCCUAACAGUAUAACUUUGCAACGCGUACUUUUUCUCGUUUUAUCGAAGAAAGCGUAAAAUCUAAUUAUAUUGUUGUAUUAUGCCCAGAUAGUGUAAAUUUGGAACGAAUCGAUGUCAACGCUCACAAGAACAAAAACCGGAACAACAUUAGAGCACUCAGUUCCGCCAUAACAGUAUAACUUUGCAACGAGUGCUUUUUUUCAUUUUAUCGAAGAAAGCGUAAAACCUAGUUAUAUUAUUCUAUUAUGCCCAGAGAGUGUAAAUUUGGAACGAAUCGAUUUCAACGCUCACAAGAACAAAAACCGGAACAACAUUAGACUACUCAGUUGCGCCCUAACAGUAUAACUUUGCAACGAGUACUUUUUCUCAUUUUAUCGAAGAAAGCGUAAAAUCUAAUUAUAUUGUUCUAUUAUUCCCAGAUAGUGUAAAUUUGGAACGAAUUGAUGUCAACGCUCACAAGAACAAAAACCGGAACAACUUUAGACUACUCAGUUGCGCCUAACAGUAUAACUUUGCAACGAGUACUUUUUCUCAUUUUAUCGAAGAAAGCGUCAAAACUAAUUAUAUUGUUCUAUUACGCCCAGAGAGUGUAAAUUUGGAACGAAUUGAUGUCAACGCUCACAAGAACAAAAACUGGAACAAAAUUAGGCUACUUAGUUGCGCCCUAACAGUAUAACUUUGCAACGAGUGCUUUUUCACAUUUUAUCGAAGAAAGCGUCAAACCUAAUUAUAUUGCUCUAUAAUGCCCAGAGAGUGUAAAUUUGGAACGAAUCGAUAUCAACACUCACAAAAAUAAAAACCGGAACAACAUUUGAGUACUCAGUUGCGCCUUAACAGUAUAACUUUGCAACCAGUACUUUUUCUCAUUUUAUCGAAGUAAGCGUCAAACCUAAUUAUAUUAUUCUAUUAUGCCCAGAGAGUGUAAAUCUGGAACGAAUCGAUGUCAACGCUCACAAGAACAAAAACCGGAACAACAUUAGACUACUCAGUUGCGCCAUAACAAUAUAACUUUGCAACGAGUACUUUUUCUUAUUUUAUCGAAGAAAGCGUAAAUCCUAAUUAUAUUAUUCUAUUAUGCCCAGAGAGAGUAAAUUUAGAACCAAUCGAUGUCAACGCUCACAAGAACAAAAAUCGGAACAACAAUAGACUACUCAGUUGCACCCUAACAGUAUAACUUUACAACGAGUGCUUUUUCUCAUUUUAUCGAAGAAGGCGUCAAACCUAAUUAUAUUGUUCUAUUAUUCCGAGAAAGUGUAAAUUUGGAACGAAUCGAUGUCAAAGCUCACAAGAACAAAAACCGGAACAAUAUUGGACUACUCAGUUGCGCCCUAACAGUAUAACUUUGCAACGAGUGCUUUUUCCCAUUUUAUCGAAGAAAGCGUAAAUGCUAAUUAUAUUGUUCUAUUAUGCCCAGAGAGUGUAAAUUUGGAACGAACCGAUGUCAGCGCUCACAAGAACAAAAACCGGAACAACAUUAGACUAAUCAGUUGCGCCCGAACAGUAUAAUUUUGCAACGAGUGAUUUUUCUCAUUUUAUCGAAGAAAGCGUCAAACCUAAUUAUAUUGUUCUAUUAUGCCCAGAGAGUGUAAAUUUGGAACGAAUCGAUGUCAACGCUCACAUGAACAAAAAUCGGGACAACAUUAGACUACUGAGUUGCGCCCUAACAGUAUAAAUUUGCAACGAGACCUUUUUCUCAUUUUAUCGAAGAAAGCAUCAAACCUAAUUAUAUUGUUCUAUUAUGCCCAGACAGUGUAAUUUUGGAACGAAUCGAUGUCAACGCUCACAAGAAUAAAAACCGGAACAACAUUAGACUACUCAGUCGCGCCCUAACAGUAUAACUUUGCAACGAGUACUUUUUCUCAUUUUAUCGAAGAAAGCGUCAAACCUAAUUAUAUUGUCUAUUAUGACCAGAGAGUGUAAAUUUGGAACGAAUCGAUGUCAACGCUCACAAGAACAAAAACCGGAAGAAAAUUAGACCACUUAGUUGCGCCCUAACAGUAUAACUUUGCAACGAGUACUUUUUCUCAUUUUAUCGAAUAAAGCGUAAAACCUAAUUAUAUUGUUCUAUUAUGCCCAGAGAGUGUAAAUUUGGAACGAAUCGAUGUCAACGCUCACAAGAACAAAAACCGGAAUAACUUUAGACUACUCAGUUGCGCCAUAACAAUAUAACUUUGCAA